Long non-coding RNA from Vespa crabro (European hornet), 2721 nucleotides. RefSeq lists it as uncharacterized. NCBI's taxonomy places the organism in Eukaryota, Metazoa, Arthropoda, Insecta, Hymenoptera, Vespidae. The record is from RefSeq and is a predicted model, not a curated record. The transcript has 3 exons.
AAUUAAUCAAUAAAGCUUUUAUAUCGAAUGAUUUGAUAACGAGAUGAAACAUUAAGAGAAUUAAAGAAAAGAUUUGGUAGUAGGAAAGUAAUAAUGAGCGUAAGUAACAAUAGAUGAUAUUUUUAAAUCGAUUUGGAAUGAAAUCUUUUGCCUAUUAAGUUACAUUCCCAAGUAAUAUGAAAAUUCACGAGCGAUGAACGCACGUGCAACCGUUCCUGCACGUAACUACAAAUGGAAUAUGAAAGUGAGAGUCGCUCGACCGUGUGUUGCUCCAUCCACGUUCUGUUGAACUUGACCCACUCUUUGUACUGUGAUACGAGCGUGCUAACGCAACGCGUCUUGCUCUCUCGCGGCUAUGCUAAUAUAACGAAGGACUCCUCCUCCUUCCUCCUCUUCCUCCUCUUGUAUACCUUCCUUCUUCUCAUUUGAGUGACACCACCUUCGAGUUAGUUUCCAUCUCUCUCUCUCUCUUUCUCUUUGAUAUUCAUUCACUUUCAGUCUGUCCCUCCCUCCCUCUCUCUCUCUCUCUCUCUCUCUCUCUCUCUCUCUCACGCUUACUCUCACUCUUACUCUUACUUUCUGUGUGACUCUCAGCGGUUAGACUAAAGUAUUCGCGGCUCGAGACGAACUUGACCCGGUUGUCGCUAAAAUAGUGACGAGGCGAUCAGUCCAUAAGUGAGUUGUGUCGAGCGUGUACGUGUGCGACAGUCGAAAGAAGAGACUUACAGGACGGAUGCGGAAAUCGUACAACGUCCUUCACCGUGACGUUAUAUGCUCCUGCAUUAUGACAUGCUCCUAAACAUGAUCGCAUAACCGCGUCACGUGGACGAUAUUGGACUCAUUAACUGGAGAGUACGUGGAAGGGUCGCUUCCGAAAGGGGUCGGAAGGAACAGAGAGAGAGAGAGAGAGGGGCUAUAUUCGGUAAGAGGCGUCCCCGUGCGUGUCGAGAGCUAGGAUCGAUAUGGAGAAAUACGGACUACUAAUCUCCGAAACGCUUCUGGAUAGUGUCACUCUGAUUGCUAACACGGAAAAUGAAGCAAUUAUAGGUACCGCCUUUGAUCAAACUCGGAUGCUUAACGAAGCGAUGCUAUGAGAGAUGCGAUCUGACGGAGAAUCAUGAUCGACUGUGAGAAAUUCAUAUCUCCGUGAAGAUCUUUCAUGAAAUAAGAACCGCACGGCAAGUAAAUCGAAGUUUAACGAGGUUAGAAAACGGAAGAAGAGGACUUUUGAGAGGGGGUGGGGGAAGCGUCAUCAUCCAGCUACAAGGCAAAUAAAACGACGACUUAUGUAGAACUAAGAAGUUUAAUUAUAAUCAGUAACCAACAAUCAUUUCCUUUGUCAUUCAUUUGUUCAAAUCUGAAUGAUUUAAUAAUAUUUUAAUGAAUUUUAAACACGAUACUUUCGAAAGCUUUUUAAUGAGCACAAUUCAAAUAUUUGCCGAAAUAUAAUAUUUAAGCAAAUGUACAUAUGUAAACAUGAAACGAUCUAAAAACAAAAUAAGUUAAUAUGCGAAAUAUAAUUUAAAAACAAAUGCAUUGUUAAUCAAUCAAAAGAACUGACACUAUUGGCAAGACAAAUUCAUUUAAAUGAAUUAUAUAAACGAACGUACAUGAAAAUAUUCUAAAAGUUUGUCAUUAUUUAAAAGUAAACGUUAAAAGCAUACACGAUCUCGGAUAUCAUUUAAUAACAUUUAUGUGAACUAUACAGAAUAUUUGUGAAAAAUGAAUGGUCUAUUACGUUAACAAUUUAACAUAUUUAAACUACAAUAUAAACAUUAUUGAACUUUUAUAAUAUUUCCAUUAACGUAGACACGGACAUGAAAAUUCCCAAAAAUUACAAAUUGCAAUUUUCUAUAAUAUAGAAGAUGAAUUGAACUCGAUAUUUCCAAGUGGAACACAAUCGUCGAUGUUGUAAAACGGUAGAGAAAAAAAAAAAGAAAAGAGAGAGAGAGAGAGAGAAAGAGAAAGAAAAAACUCUGAUAAAAGGUAGAAAUCUGCGAAAGAUGCAGAAACUGAAAUUGCAAAUUUCAACUCGGUAGAAAGUUUACUUCGCGGCCGGUUAACGAAUGUAAUGGAUUCGUUUCUCUUAAACGCUGCAGUCUAAUCAAGAAAGUGGUCUCUCAAGUGAACUCCGAAUUCUCUCUUUCCUUCCUUUUUUCCUUUCAUUCUUUUCUUCCUUAAUGUCUUGGCCUGCCUCUCUCGUAUCUCGAUGUACUGAUUGACGUCGGAAAAAAGAGAAUUAUUAUGCUGCGGCGAACUUUUACCACUUCGCACGACGGCAAAUAAAAGUCAACCUUUUAUUUCCCUCCCCCCUCCAUCCUUCUCUCUCUCUCUCUCUCUCUCUCUCUCUCUCUAUUUCUUUUUCUUUCUAUCUCUCGCGAUACGAUCGUGGUUACGUCUUAUCGCGAUUCUCAACCGGAAAUACAACAGUUCGAGUGCUGCGAUAAAAAUACUACCAUGGCGUUAAGUUAAAGGAGAAAGUAAUAAAAAAGUGAAGAGUCCACGGAAAAAAGUAAGAAACUGGUCGUAAGAUAAGGAAUAAAAUCAAUUUUUAUAACCAACCCAAAUCUAACGCAGAAUCCGAGCUAACACUGUUGAUACUCCAAAAUUUUAGAAAGAACUGAAAACUAUCAUUCGAUUAGGUACGUUUUUGUACGAUGUAAGUUUUAACUCAUAAACAUUACCGUAGAGAGUAAACAUUUUGAAAAUAUGUAACAAUGA